UGAGGGAAUAUUGGGUCAAUGGGCGAGAGCCUGAACCAGCCAAGUAGCGUGCAGGAUGACGGCCCUAUGGGUUGUAAACUGCUUUUAUAAGGGAAUAAAGUGGGUCACGUGUGACUUUUUGCAUGUACCUUAUGAAUAAGGACCGGCUAAUUCCGUGCCAGCAGCCGCGGUAAUGCGGAAGGUCCGGGCGUUAUCCGGAUUUAUUGGGUUUAAAGGGAGCGUAGGCCGGAGAUUAAGCGUGUUGUGAAAUGUAGUGGCUCAACCUCUGCACUGCAGCGCGAACUGGUCUUCUUGAGUGCGCGCAGCGCAGGCGGAACUCGUGGUGUAGCGGUGAAAUGCUUAGAUAUCACGAAGAACUCCGAUCGCGAAGGCAGCCUGCGGGAGCGCAACUGACGCUGAGGCUCGAAAGUGCGGGUAUCGAACAGGAUUAGAUACCCUGGGUAGU
Molecule: ribosomal RNA, 445 nt
Filed under: uncultured Prevotella sp.
Lineage: Bacteria; Pseudomonadati; Bacteroidota; Bacteroidia; Bacteroidales; Prevotellaceae
Description: bacterial SSU rRNA
Rfam family: Bacterial small subunit ribosomal RNA
Source: RNAcentral